Nematostella vectensis (starlet sea anemone) is the source of this 739-nucleotide long non-coding RNA. RefSeq lists it as uncharacterized. The transcript is spliced from 2 exons. Lineage: Eukaryota; Metazoa; Cnidaria; Anthozoa; Actiniaria; Edwardsiidae. The record is from RefSeq and is a predicted model, not a curated record.
GUGGCCAUGUUGGAGGUCUAAACACAUUUCAUGGCGCUAGUGAAAACGCUCGAAAGUUUGAUAACAAACUCAUCAAAAACAAACAAAAGGGCCGUUUUGUUAUACUGUUGUUAUAGCUGUACAAGAAUAUUACCCAUAUGCAUAUCCACUUGAUGACAAAGGAUUUUAGAAUGAUUAAAUAAUCGAGAAAAAUGUCAGAAAUGAGUGGUUAGUCGAGGGGAUCCAAACUAACAACCAGACACCAAAACAGAUUGGUUUUCUGCGAUCACUUCAUCAACGGAUGCUGUUAUACCUCCAAUAUUAUAGACGAGGAGAAAAAUGCGAAUAUGUCCUAUGAGACUAUGGCCUUUAGUGAACAACAAAUUUGUUUUAGAAAAACACAAACUGUUCAUGAGUUGUACCCCAGACACACUGCAAUAACUCAGACCUCUAAAAGCCUUUUUCAAGGUUUAUUUCACCCAUUGCUUACUCUUGAUCAGAUCAUUAGCAUUAGCAUCUAAGAGGUGGCAAAAAAAUAAGCUAUGUAAUGCAAGGCGAAUGUUUAAUCUAAGAGCUUGAAUCCAAAGUAAUUUAUUUUAAAAUUGUUGAGUUUCAUAGCAAUUAAUAUCCAGGAAAAUAAUCCCCAAUUGAUGGUAUUUUGUUUGCUUUUGUUGGUAGAGGACUGCCAGUUGCCAUGGUCACUAUACCAAUCCUGGUUAACACUAGUUAAUUUGUGAUAUAAAAAAAAAAGCACAACAAA